RNAcentral lists this ribosomal RNA (288 nucleotides) under uncultured bacterium. RNAcentral's name for it is "partial 16S ribosomal RNA". It matches the Rfam family "Bacterial small subunit ribosomal RNA", at positions 29 to 334 of the family's 1533-position model. The record is from RNAcentral.
AAUGAACGCUGGCGGCAUGCCUCAUACAUGCAAGUCGAACGAGAAGCCAUCUUCGGAUGGUGGAUAGUGGCAAACGGGUGCGUAACACGUGGGAAUGUACCUCAAGGUUUGGGAUAGCCCCGGGAAACUGGGAUUAAUACCGGAUAAGCUCUACGGAGGAAAGAUUUAUCGCCUUGAGAUCAGCCCGCGGUUGAUUAGCUUGUUGGUAGGGUAAUGGCCUACCAAGGCAACGAUCAAUAGCUGGUCUGAGAGGAUGAUCAGCCACACUGGGACUGAGAUACGGCCCAG